GUGACCCGCACGCCGCCUCACGCGGGUUUCUGGAGUUAUCCCCGGAGUUUUCUCCGCCGUCGGAUCGACGGGCGUUGGGGGCAUCUCGACCGUUGAGGUGUGUGCGUCCGUGCAUGCAUGCGUCGUGGGUUUAGAAUUACCACGGUGCCCCUGGUAGUCUGGUCUCGGAUUAGGCCGGCAUAUUCUGGUUUAUCGCUGAGUGGGAUUAUCUGAAUAGGAAGUCAACAUUUUGGACGGUUUUUUCAAGAGGAUAUGUUCUUGGACGGUGACCGAGAAAACAUGUUGAUAAGGACUGGAUGGUGACAUGGUAAUGGAAGCCACGUUCUCUCUAUUUAUUUUAUAUUAUAUAGAGUAUGAAUUUUAAAACUACUAUUUUAAGUAUUGAGCCUGGAUUUCGAUUGACGGGGUUUUUUUCCUUUUUUUUUCCAAAAAUUAGCUCGACGUUAUCUACAGCCAGGCAGCCAGCAAACGAUCAAAGAAAGAUGAUGGCGUAUGUGCGACCAUUAUAUAUUCGAGAGUUUGCUAGCUAGGUGAAGAUUUGUCCAUGAAUCUUUUAUCUUCAGCAUUAUCUAAAUACCGACGGAUAUAGUGAUUCAAUAAAUUUCUACUCAAUAAAAAUAAGUUAUAUUUAUAUACAAGUAUGUUCUACGUUAUAUGCAUUAUUUAUUUUUAUCUCCAUUUAGUAAAAUAGAGGACGUUUAGAGUAGCUAAUUGCAUUAGAUGUAUUGCUAACUAAUGACCUGUUUGGUUCAUGACGAAGUUUGCCACGUCUAACCUCGAAUAAAUUGUGGUAAGCAAAAUCAAUGUUGGGUUGUUGGUAAAAGUUUAGCAAGGAAAUAAAUCUGUAAUGUGUGGAAUUAAAAGGUAACUUGGCUUUGCACUACGUUUAAGAUGGGACUGGCUUCGGCGAACAAAGCCUGAUUCAGUAUGGACUAGCCUACCAUCGAAGCCUAAGAAUAAGACCAUCUUCGCCAUGUUCUAGGUGUCGGUCACCGUUCAUAUUGGUGACGGCUGCUCCACGAAGUUCUAGAUCGAUGCUCCGGACGGUGCCAUUUCG
This 1057-nucleotide long non-coding RNA is filed under the name Sorghum bicolor (sorghum). RNAcentral's name for it is "long non-coding RNA (SBIC_LNC016718)". The record is from RNAcentral. Lineage: Eukaryota; Viridiplantae; Streptophyta; Magnoliopsida; Poales; Poaceae.